RNAcentral lists this ribosomal RNA (253 nucleotides) under uncultured bacterium. RNAcentral's name for it is "partial 16S ribosomal RNA". It matches the Rfam family "Bacterial small subunit ribosomal RNA", at positions 524 to 776 of the family's 1533-position model. The record is from RNAcentral.
UACGGAGGGUGCAAGCGUUGUUCGGAAUUAUUGGGCGUAAAGCGCGUGUAGGCGGUUGGUUAAGUCUGAUGUGAAAGCCCUGGGCUCAACCCGGGAAGUGCAUUGGAAACUGGCUAACUUGAGUACGGGAGAGGGUAGUGGAAUUUCGAGUGUAGGGGUGAAAUCCGUAGAUAUUCGAAGGAACACCGGUGGCGAAGGCGGCUACCUGGACCGAUACUGACGCUGAGACGCGAAAGCGUGGGGAGCAAACAGG